Molecule: ribosomal RNA, 497 nt
Filed under: uncultured bacterium
Lineage: Bacteria
Description: bacterial SSU rRNA
Rfam family: Bacterial small subunit ribosomal RNA
Source: RNAcentral
UGGCGGCAGGCUUACACAUGCAAGUCGAACGGUAGCAGGAGAAAGCUUGCUUUCUUGCUGACGAGUGGCGGACGGGUGAGUAAUGCUUGGGAAUCUGGCUUAUGGAGGGGGAUAACUACUGGAAACGGUAGCUAAUACCGCGUAAUGUCUACGGACUAAAGGGUGGGACCAUUUGGCCACCUGCCAUAAGAUGAGCCCAAGUGGGAUUAGGUAGUUGGUGAGGUAAAGGCUCACCAAGCCCGCGAUCUCUAGCUGGUCUGAGAGGAUGACCAGCCACACUGGAACUGAGACACGGUCCAGACUCCUACGGGAGGCAGCAGUGGGGAAUAUUGCACAAUGGGGGGAACCCUGAUGCAGCCAUGCCGCGUGAAUGAAGAAGGCCUUCGGGUUGUAAAGUUCUUUCGGUGACGAGGAAGGCGAUUGUUUUAAUAGAACAGUCGAUUGACGUUAAUCACAGAAGAAGCACCGGCUAACUCCGUGCCAGCAGCCGCGGUAAU